UACGUAGGUGACAAGCGUUGUCCGGAUUUACUGGGCGUAAAGAGCGCGCAGGCGGUCGAUCAAGUCGAGUGUGAAAGCCCCCGGCUCAACUGGGGAGGGUCAUUCGAUACUGAUCGACUCGAAGGCAGGAGAGGGUAGUGGAAUUCCCGGUGUAGUGGUGAAAUGCGUAGAGAUCGGCAGGAACACCAGUGGCGAAGGCGGCCACCUGGCCCGCACCUGACGCUGAGGCGCGACAGCGUGGGGAGCGAACUGG
RNAcentral lists this ribosomal RNA (253 nucleotides) under uncultured bacterium. RNAcentral describes it as "partial 16S ribosomal RNA". It matches the Rfam family "Bacterial small subunit ribosomal RNA", at positions 524 to 776 of the family's 1533-position model. The record is from RNAcentral.